RNA transcript from Aedes aegypti (yellow fever mosquito), 1896 nucleotides. It is a transcript of the gene named maltase 1, with no coding region annotated. The record is from RefSeq and is a predicted model, not a curated record. Lineage: Eukaryota; Metazoa; Arthropoda; Insecta; Diptera; Culicidae. The transcript is spliced from 3 exons.
GAAUCCCACACACUGAUCAGUUGUCUCCGAACAGUUCGGCUGACGAGAUGCGGCUGUGUAGUGCCGGGCUCUUGGUGACCCUAGCGGUCUUUGCAAGCAGUUUCGACAUACGGGAACCGGAGCAGAAAGGAUUGGUAUCAACAUGCAACCUUCUAUCAGAUCUAUCCACGCUCCUUCAAGGACAGUGAUGGCGACGGGAUUGGUGAUCUUGCGGGAAUCACCUCGAAAAUGAGUUACUUGGCCGAUAUUGGAAUCGAUGCUACCUGGUUGAGUCCACCGUUCAAAUCGCCACUGAGGGAUUUUGGUUAUGACGUGUCCGAUUUUUACGACAUUCAACCCGAGUACGGAACGUUGGAGAGCUUCGAUGAGCUGGUGCAGGAAGCGCAUAAAAAUGGAAUCAAGCUGAUGUUGGAUUUCAUUCCGAAUCAUUCGAGUGACGAGCACGAUUGGUUCGUGAAAUCAGCGGAAAGAAACGAAACGUACAAGGAUUUCUACGUUUGGCAUCCCGGUAGACAAAAUGCUGAAACGGGUAAACUCGAUCCUCCAAACAAUUGGAUAUCGGUUUUUGGUGGACCGGCGUGGACGUAUCAUGAAGGACGCCAGGAGUUCUAUUUGCAUCAGUUUACGGAUAAGCAACCGGAUUUGAACUAUCGUAAUCCAGCGGUUCUGGAAGAGAUGACAAAGAUGUUAUUCUUCUGGUUGGAUCGAGGCGUUGACGGAUUCCGGCUGGAUGCUAUCAACCACAUGUUCGAAGAUCCAGAACUUCGGGAUGAACCUCCAUCAGGCUGGAGUGAUCCCGGAAAGUACGAUUCUCUGGAUCACAUCUACACAAAAGAUGUCGAGGACGUGUAUAAGGUUGUGUACGAUUGGCGUGACUUGAUGGAUGCUUACUCGAAGGAAAAUGGGCGAACCAUCAUUCUGAUGACGGAAGCGUAUUCCAGCAUCGAAGGUACGAUGCUGUAUUACGAGAAUGCGAAUCGUACCCGGCAAGGAGCGCAUAUGCCGUUCAACUUCCAGCUGAUUUACGACUUCAAGGAUAUUCAGAAUGCAGUUGGAUUGAAGCAAUCGAUUGAUUGGUGGAUGAACCAUAUGCCUGCGAGACACACACCGAGCUGGGUCAGUGGUUCUCAUGACCAUGAACGGUUCGCUUCCAGGGUUGGCGAGAACCGGGUGGAGCAAAUGAUGACGUUGUUGCAUACUUUGCCAGGGACUAGCAUCACUUACUAUGGCGAGGAAAUCGGUAUGCUGGACUACAAGGAAGCCCAAACCUACGACGGCCGUGAUCCAAACCGUACCCCCAUGCAGUGGGAUGGAACAACUAGCGCAGGAUUCAGUACCAACGCUACCACAUGGUUGAAGGUCCAUCCGAAUUACGCCAGCUUGAACGUGGAUUUGCAACAAAACGCUGAGAAGAGCAACUUCCACCACUUCAGAGCUUUGACCAGUUUGCGACGACAUGAAACCAUGCAGAAUGGUGACUUCUUGCACCGAACUGUUGGGACCCAUGUCUACGCUUUGCUGAGGGAACUUCAGGGCAGGGACUCGUUCUUGACGGUGCUCAACAUGGCGGAUAAGCAGUACGAUGUCGAUCUGGGCGAUUUCGUGAAUCUACCGGAGAAGAUGACCGUUCAAGUAGCACAGUCGAACUCGACCCUGAAAGCCGGAGACGUGGUUGAAAUCAGCAAAGUGACGUUGGGACCUUACGAUUCCAUUGUGUUGAGAGCUUCAUCGGCAGCUGCAAUUCAGCUUUCGCUAUCGGUUGUGAUUGCUCUUAUCGUCAAGUAUUUCUUAGUGUAGGAAAAGAUAGCGCGUAUCUUAAUUCGAGUUACGUUUUGAUUGCUGAUGCAACAUGACAGCCAAUGUUAUCGAUCAAUUGAAAUAAAUCGAUUAACUGUU